GAUUGUGGCUCAAUGGUAGAGUGCUUGCUUCGCAUAUGUGAGGCACUGAGUUCAAUUCUCAGCACA
Molecule: transfer RNA, 66 nt
Filed under: Marmota monax (woodchuck)
Lineage: Eukaryota; Metazoa; Chordata; Mammalia; Rodentia; Sciuridae
Description: tRNA.Ala
Source: RNAcentral